CCUUCCGUAGGUGAACCUGCGGAGGGAUCAUUA
Molecule: ribosomal RNA, 33 nt
Filed under: Dactylonectria macrodidyma
Lineage: Eukaryota; Fungi; Ascomycota; Sordariomycetes; Hypocreales; Nectriaceae
Also listed under: 2 other names
Description: partial 18S ribosomal RNA
Source: RNAcentral